UACGAGUGCGUCGAGCGUUAUCCGGAUUCACUGGGUUUAAAGGGUGCGUAGGCGGGCAGGUAAGUCAGUGGUGAAAUCUCCGGGCUUAACCCGGAAACUGCCGUUGAUACUAUCUGUCUUGAAUAUCGUGGAGGUAAGCGGAAUAUGUCAUGUAGCGGUGAAAUGCUUAGAUAUGACAUAGAACACCCAUUGCGAAGGCAGCUUACUACACGAUCAUUGACGCUGAGGCACGAAAGCGUGGGGAGCAAACAGG
This 253-nucleotide ribosomal RNA is filed under the name uncultured bacterium. RNAcentral describes it as "partial 16S ribosomal RNA". It matches the Rfam family "Bacterial small subunit ribosomal RNA", at positions 524 to 776 of the family's 1533-position model. The record is from RNAcentral.